CAUCGCCGCGGUAAUACGGAGGGAGCUAGCGUUGUUCGGAAUUACUGGGCGUAAAGCGCGCGUAGGCGGUUACUCAAGUCAGAGGUGAAAGCCCGGGGCUCAACCCCGGAACUGCCUUUGAAACUAGGUGACUAGAAUCUUGGAGAGGUCAGUGGAAUUCCGAGUGUAGAGGUGAAAUUCGUAGAUAUUCGGAAGAACACCAGUGGCGAAGGCGACUGACUGGACAAGUAUUGGCGCUGAGGUGCGAAAGCGUGGGGAGCAAACAGGAUUAGAUACCCCCGUAGUCCCUGUCUCUUAUACA
Molecule: ribosomal RNA, 301 nt
Filed under: uncultured bacterium
Lineage: Bacteria
Description: partial 16S ribosomal RNA
Rfam family: Bacterial small subunit ribosomal RNA
Source: RNAcentral